This 119-nucleotide ribosomal RNA is filed under the name Lepisosteus oculatus (spotted gar). The record is from RNAcentral. Lineage: Eukaryota; Metazoa; Chordata; Actinopteri; Semionotiformes; Lepisosteidae.
GCCAGCAGCCAUAUCACCCUGCAACUCACAACUGGCAGCCCACUGAAGCUCAGCAGGUGUGAGCCUGGUCAGUACCUGGAGGGGAGACCUCCUGGGAAAAACUAAGGUUGUUGCUGGAA